GCAGCGCUGGGCGUCCGCCCAGCGAGGAUCGCAAC
This 35-nucleotide non-coding RNA is filed under the name Nocardia sp. NRRL S-836. Lineage: Bacteria; Bacillati; Actinomycetota; Actinomycetes; Mycobacteriales; Nocardiaceae. The record is from RNAcentral.